This 230-nucleotide ribosomal RNA is filed under the name Dunaliella tertiolecta. RNAcentral's name for it is "partial Eukaryotic small subunit ribosomal RNA". It matches the Rfam family "Eukaryotic small subunit ribosomal RNA", at positions 736 to 967 of the family's 1831-position model. Lineage: Eukaryota; Viridiplantae; Chlorophyta; Chlorophyceae; Chlamydomonadales; Dunaliellaceae. The record is from RNAcentral.
UGGGGAACCAGGACUUUUACUUUGAAAAAAUUAGAGUGUUCAAAGCAGGCCUACGCCCGAAUACAUUAGCAUGGAAUAAUAGAAUAGGACGCGCGUUCCCAUUUUGUUGGUUUCUGAGAUCGCCGUAAUGAUUAAUAGGGAUAGUUGGGGGCAUUUGUAUUCCGUCGUCAGAGGUGAAAUUCUUGGAUUGAUUGAAGACUAACUACUGCGAAAGCAUUUGCCAAGGAUGU